RNAcentral lists this ribosomal RNA (301 nucleotides) under uncultured bacterium. RNAcentral describes it as "partial 16S ribosomal RNA". It matches the Rfam family "Bacterial small subunit ribosomal RNA", at positions 509 to 807 of the family's 1533-position model. The record is from RNAcentral.
CAGUAGCCGCGGUAAUACGAAGGGUGCAAGCGUUACUCGGAAUUACUGGGCGUAAAGCGUGCGUAGGUGGUGGUUUAAGUCCGUUGUGAAAGCCCUGGGCUCAACCUGGGAAUUGCAGUGGAUACUGGGUCACUAGAGUGUGGUAGAGGAUAGUGGAAUUUCCGGUGUAGCAGUGAAAUGCGUAGAGAUCGGAAGGAACAUCUGUGGCGAAGGCGACUAUCUGGGUCAACACUGACACUGAGGCACGAAAGCGUGGGGAGCAAACAGGAUUAGAUACCCCCGUAGUCCCUGUCUAUUAUAC